RNAcentral lists this long non-coding RNA (346 nucleotides) under Numida meleagris (helmeted guineafowl). RNAcentral's name for it is "lncRNA (ENSNMEG00000010003.1)". Lineage: Eukaryota; Metazoa; Chordata; Aves; Galliformes; Numididae. The record is from RNAcentral.
CUGGAACGAAGAAGUGGGAUGUUGAUGAAAUCUUUUCAGGAACUCGCUCAAAUCAGCUUAAUCUUUUAGCAUAUCCUAUCCAAAUCAGAAGUCCUGAAGAUUUCUUUGCACUGAGUGCGGAGUCUUACAUUUACAGUUUGGAUCAUUCGUCCUGGUCUAGUUUGUCACAAUCAUCGAAAAGUUCUGCUUUAGGUGACUUUGAUGGUGUCAGCUCAGUCAGCGCCAAAGCAAAUGCAAGGCUUUGGAAGUUUGGAGCAUUGUUUACAGCAGUGACUGCCGUGACCCAGUGUGCAGCUGAGUGAGCUUGCAGCGCCCAGGCACUUGUGGGCCAAGACGGCUUUCCAAG